AGCGGAGGAAAAGAAACUAACUAGGAUUCCCUUAGUAACGGCGAGUGAACCGGGAAAAGCUCAAAUUUGUAAUCUGGCUGUCUUCGAUAGUCCGAGUUGUAAUCUAUAGACGUGUUUUCCGUGCUGGACCGUAUCUAAGUCCCUUGGAACAGGGUAUCAAAGAGGGUGACAAUCCCGUGCUUGAUACGACCACCAGUGCUCUGUGAUACACGCUCUACGAGUCGAGUUGUUUGGGAAUGCAGCUCAAAAUGGGUGGUAAAUUCCAUCUAAAGCUAAAUAUUGGCGAGAGACCGAUAGCGAACAAGUACCGUGAGGGAAAGAUGAAAAGCACUUUGGAAAGAGAGUUAAACAGUACGUGAAAUUGUUGAAAGGGAAACGAUUGAAGUCAGUCGUGUUCUUUGGAUUCAGCUAGUUCUUCUAGUCUACUUCCAUUGAACGGGUCAACAUCAGUUUUGUCCGGUGGAUAAAGAUAGUAGGAAUGUAGCUCCCCCGGGAGUGUUAUAGACUAUUAUUGCAUACACUGGGUGAGACUGAGGACUGCAGCUCGCCUUUUGGCCGGUCUUCGGACACGUUCGAGCUUAGGAUGUUGACAUAAUGGCUUUAAACGACCCGUCUU
Molecule: ribosomal RNA, 616 nt
Filed under: Cutaneotrichosporon mucoides
Lineage: Eukaryota; Fungi; Basidiomycota; Tremellomycetes; Trichosporonales; Trichosporonaceae
Description: eukaryotic LSU rRNA
Rfam family: Eukaryotic large subunit ribosomal RNA
Source: RNAcentral